GACGAACGCUGGCGGCGUGCUUAACACAUGCAAGUCGAACGGAAAGGCCCUGCUUUUGUGGGGUGCUCGAGUGGCGAACGGGUGAGUAACACGUGAGUAACCUGCCCUUGACUUUGGGAUAACUUCAGGAAACUGGGGCUAAUACCGGAUAGGAGCUCCUGCUGCAUGGUGGGGGUUGGAAAGUUUCGGCGGUUGGGGAUGGACUCGCGGCUUAUCAGCUUGUUGGUGGGGUAGUGGCUUACCAAGGCUUUGACGGGUAGCCGGCCUGAGAGGGUGACCGGCCACAUUGGGACUGAGAUACGGCCCAGACUCCUACAGGAGGCAGCAGUGGGGAAUAUUGCACAAUGGGCGGGAGCCUGAUGCAGCAACGCCGCGUGCGGGAUGACGGCCUUCGGGUUGUAAACCGCUUUCGCCUGUGACGAAGCGGGAGUGACGGUAAUGGGUAAAGAAGCACCGGCUAACUACGUG
This 468-nucleotide ribosomal RNA is filed under the name uncultured bacterium. RNAcentral describes it as "partial 16S ribosomal RNA". It matches the Rfam family "Bacterial small subunit ribosomal RNA", at positions 28 to 507 of the family's 1533-position model. The record is from RNAcentral.